RNAcentral lists this ribosomal RNA (450 nucleotides) under uncultured bacterium. Its description in RNAcentral is "bacterial SSU rRNA". It matches the Rfam family "Bacterial small subunit ribosomal RNA", at positions 354 to 796 of the family's 1533-position model. The record is from RNAcentral.
GUGAGGAAUAUUGGGCAAUGGGCGAAAGCCUGACCCAGCCACGCCGCGUGAGUGAUGAAGGCCUUCGGGUUGUAAAGCUCUGUGGGGAGGGAAGAAAAAGCGCAGGAGUAACUGCCUGUGUGUUGACGGUACCUCCUUAGCAAGCACCGGCUAACUCUGUGCCAGCAGCCGCGGUAAUACAGAGGGUGCAAACGUUGCUCGGAAUUACCGGGCGUAAAGCGCGUGUAGGCUGACAUGCAAGUCGGGUGUGAAAUCCCAGGGCUCAACCUUGGAACUGCACUCGAAACUGCACGUCUUGAGUACUGGAGAGGGAAGCGGAAUUCCGGGUGUAGAGGUGAAAUUCGUAGAUAUCCGGAGGAACACCAGUGGCGAAGGCGGCUUCCUGGACAGUAACUGACGCUGAGACGCGAAAGCGUGGGGAGCAAACAGGAUUAGAAACCCCAGUAGUCC